This 250-nucleotide ribosomal RNA is filed under the name uncultured bacterium. RNAcentral's name for it is "partial 16S ribosomal RNA". It matches the Rfam family "Bacterial small subunit ribosomal RNA", at positions 524 to 773 of the family's 1533-position model. The record is from RNAcentral.
GACAGAGGGUGCAAACGUUGCUCGGAAUCACUGGGCGUAAAGGGCGUGUAGGCGGGAAGGAAAGUCAGAUGUGAAAUCCCCAGGCUCAACCUGGGAACUGCAUUUGAAACUCCCUUUCUUGAGUACCGGAGAGGAAAGUGGAAUUCCUGGUGUAGAGGUGAAAUUCGUAGAUAUCAGGAGGAACACCAGUGGCGAAGGCGGCUUUCUGGACGGUAACUGACGCUGAGACGCGAAAGCGUGGGGAGCAAAC